AUUGAACGCUGGCGGCAGGCCUAACACAUGCAAGUCGAGCGAGCGGCGGACGGGGGAGUAAUGUCUGGGAAAAUGCCUGAUGGAGGGGGAGAACAACUGGAAGCGGUAGCUAAUACCGCAUACCAUCGGAUGUGCCCAUAUGGGAUUAGCUAGUAGGUGAGGUAAAGGCUCACCUAGGCGACGAUCCCUAGCUGGUCUGAGAGGAUGACCAGCCACACUGGAACUGAGACACGGCCCAGACUCCUACGGGAGGCAGCAGUGGGGAAGAUUGCACAAUGGGCGCAAGCCGGAUGCAGCCAUGCCGCGGGUAUGAAGAAGGCCUUCGGGUUGUAAAGUACUUUCAGCGGGGAGGCGUUACCGGCAGAAGAAGCACCGGCUAACUCCGUGCCAGCAGCCGCGGUAAUUC
This 406-nucleotide ribosomal RNA is filed under the name uncultured bacterium. Its description in RNAcentral is "partial 16S ribosomal RNA". It matches the Rfam family "Bacterial small subunit ribosomal RNA", at positions 29 to 526 of the family's 1533-position model. The record is from RNAcentral.